This 101-nucleotide ribosomal RNA is filed under the name uncultured bacterium. RNAcentral describes it as "partial 16S ribosomal RNA". The record is from RNAcentral.
AAGGCGCUAUGCGUCGUAAACUUCUUUUGAACAGGAGAAACCCCUCGUACGUGUACGGGGCUGAUAGUACUGUUAGAACUAAGGGUCGGCUAACUUCGUGC